This 387-nucleotide ribosomal RNA is filed under the name uncultured Alphaproteobacteria bacterium. Its description in RNAcentral is "bacterial SSU rRNA". It matches the Rfam family "Bacterial small subunit ribosomal RNA", at positions 492 to 877 of the family's 1533-position model. The record is from RNAcentral. Lineage: Bacteria; Pseudomonadati; Pseudomonadota; Alphaproteobacteria.
CCCGGCUAACUCCGUCCCAGCAGCCGCGGUAAUACGGAGGGGGUUAGCGUUGUUCGGAAUUACUGGGCGUAAAGCGCACGUAGGGCGGACUGGAAAGUUGGGGGUGAAAUUCCCAGGGCUCAACCCUGGGAACUGCCUCCAAAACUAUCAGUCUAGAGUUCGAGAGAGGUGAGUGGAAUUCCGAGUGUAGAGGUGAAAUUCGUAGAUAUUCGGAGGAACACCAGUGGCGAAGGCGGCUCACUGGCUCGAUACUGACGCUGAGGUGCGAAAGUGUGGGGAGCAAACAGGAUUAGAUACCCUGGUAGUCCACACCGUAAACGAUGAAUGCCAGUCGUCGGGUAGCAUGCUAUUCGGUGACACACCUAACGGAUUAAGCAUCCGCCUGGG